GGAUGUUAGGGUGAUGUGGCUAUGAGGCAAUAUCACCCCAUUGGUCACCAGGGCUUAUUUGGCUGAUCUGGAUGGCUAGCCAGGAGUCCCCUUCCUCUCUCACUGCUCCAUGUGUAUCCCUCCUGAAGUUGCAUGCCUGGUCAAAGAUAACCUUCCCUGAGUAGAAACAGACUUUUCUUUGGUGGAGGGUAUCAAAUAGCUGGCUAAAACCUCCAAACAAACUUUUUGGAUUUGAAGCUUAUACAAAGAACAGCCAAAACUAAUAAAUAUGUUUU
RNAcentral lists this small nuclear RNA (275 nucleotides) under Sorex araneus (European shrew). RNAcentral's name for it is "7SK RNA (ENSSARG00000018408.1)". It matches the Rfam family "7SK RNA". From Rfam's summary of the family: 7SK was discovered as an abundant small nuclear RNA in the mid-70s but a possible function has only recently been suggested. Two independent studies have found that 7SK RNA binds the CDK9/cyclin T complex (known as elongation factor P-TEFb). P-TEFb activates transcription by phosphorylating the C-terminal domain of RNA polymerase II. Lineage: Eukaryota; Metazoa; Chordata; Mammalia; Eulipotyphla; Soricidae. The record is from RNAcentral.